RNAcentral lists this long non-coding RNA (865 nucleotides) under Marmota monax (woodchuck). Lineage: Eukaryota; Metazoa; Chordata; Mammalia; Rodentia; Sciuridae. The record is from RNAcentral.
UUUUUAUUAUUUUUAUUUUGAGAUGGGGUCUCGCUAAGUUCCUUGGGGGCCUCGCUAAAUGCUGAGGCUGGCUUUGAGCCCGAGAACCUCCUGCCUCGGCCUCCCAAACUGUUGGUAUUAGAGGCCAGGGGCACCGUGCCGGCAGCAAUUUUUUUUUUUAAAUAUUUAUAUUUCAGUUGUACGUGGACACAGUAUCUUUGUUUUAUUUAUUUAUUUUUAUGUGGUGCUGAAGAUCAAACCCAGGGCCUUGCACAUACUAGGCGAGCACUCUCCGCUGAGCCACAACCCCAGGAGGAUCAAUUGUGUUUUAAUUGAAGAGUGAAAAGGUAGGUGUUUGUUGAAAGGGGGCGGCAAUAGUGGGAUUUGAGGCUACUGGGGUGAUAAAGCUAAUCAAAGUACUUCAAAGGGUGGUACAGUAAUACGGCUAGCAUAGGAGCCCCAGAAAGAUCGACUAGGGGCAGAUGGAGUGGGAAUCUUUGAAAGGGGAUAGUGGAGACUGGUCAAAGGUCCUGUGGAGAGAAAGAGGUGGGCUGUAAGAUAUGAAAACAGGGGUGGAGACAGUGGAGAGGAGUGUAAUUUUGCCCGAGAAACCCAGGUGCUUGGGCUCUAGAGAAUUGUAGGUGGAAGGAAGAAAUUCUAUAGAAACAGGUGAAUGGGCUGCUGAAGAUGAAAUUUAAGAAUCUAUGGAUUUCUAGAACGAUUAUCCUACUUUGGAGUUUUUUUAAUUUUAAUUUUUAGUUUUUAAUAGACCUUUAUUUUUUUAAUUUAUAUGUGGUGCUGAGAAUCGAACUUAGUGCCUCACACAUGAUAGGAAAGUGCACUACCGCUGAGCUACCGCCCCAGCCCCUGCUUUGGAGUUUUUAUC